Small nucleolar RNA from Mesocricetus auratus (golden hamster), 141 nucleotides. The record is from Ensembl. Lineage: Eukaryota; Metazoa; Chordata; Mammalia; Rodentia; Cricetidae.
GUUCAUUGAAAUUUAUCCCUGGCAUUGUCCUUGAUGGUUAUGCGGUGUUUAAGAUCCCCUGCUCAGAACAAAUAGAGGCCUCACAUCACCACCUGCUACCUCAGGGUAGUGGGGAAGUUGAAACCCAGGCCCCCGAGAGCC